Molecule: ribosomal RNA, 421 nt
Filed under: uncultured bacterium
Lineage: Bacteria
Description: partial 16S ribosomal RNA
Rfam family: Bacterial small subunit ribosomal RNA
Source: RNAcentral
AUUUUGGACAAUGGGGGAAACCCUGAUCCAGCCAUCCCGCGUGUAUGAUGAAGGCCUUCGGGUUGUAAAGUACUUUUGGCAGAGAAGAAAAGGUAUCUCCUAAUCCAAGAUACUGCUCGCGGCAUCUGCAGCAUAAACACCGGCUCACUCCGUGCCAGCAGCCGCGGUAAUACGUAGGGUGCAAGAGUUAAUCGGAAUUACUGGGCGUAAAGCGUGUGUAGGCGGUUCGGAAAGAAAGAUGUGAAAUCCCAGGGCUCAACCUUGGAACUGCAUUUUUAACUGCCGAGCUAGAGUAUGUCAGAGGGGGGUAGAAUUCCACGUGUAGCAGUGAAAUGCGUAGAUAUGUGGAGGAAUACCGAUGGCGAAGGCAGCCCCCUGGGAUAAUACUGACGCUCAGACACGAAAGCGUGGGGAGCAAACA